This 253-nucleotide ribosomal RNA is filed under the name uncultured bacterium. RNAcentral describes it as "partial 16S ribosomal RNA". It matches the Rfam family "Bacterial small subunit ribosomal RNA", at positions 524 to 776 of the family's 1533-position model. The record is from RNAcentral.
UACAGAGGGGGCGAGCGUUGUUCGGAAUUACUGGGCGUAAAGGGCGCGUAGGCGGCCCGCUAAGUCGAACGUGAAAUCCCCAGGCUUAACCUGGGAACUGCGUCCGAUACUGGCAGGCUUGAAUCCGGGAGAGGGGUGUGGAAUUCCAGGUGUAGCGGUGAAAUGCGUAGAUAUCUGGAGGAAUACCGGUGGCGAAGGCGGCAUCCUGGACCGGCAUUGACGCUGAGGAGCGAAAGCCAGGGGAGCAAACGGG